This 489-nucleotide long non-coding RNA is filed under the name Ananas comosus (pineapple). RNAcentral describes it as "long non-coding RNA (ACOM_LNC022027)". Lineage: Eukaryota; Viridiplantae; Streptophyta; Magnoliopsida; Poales; Bromeliaceae. The record is from RNAcentral.
UUAUUAUUCGUUCUUAAUAUUUGUUUUUAUUCUCGUUCCAACUAGGGAUGUCAAUGGGUAUGGAUAUCCGAAAUUUUAUCUAAAUUCGAAUCUGAAUGAGACGGAUAUAUUCGAUGGAUAUGAAUAUGGAUUCGGAUAUGGAUAUCAAAAAUAGAAACCCGACGGAUAUGGAUUCGGAUAUGGAUUUUGAUUGUAUCCGACUCGAACCCAAACCCGACCCGAAUCCGAAUUUAUCUUGUAUUAUAUAUAAUAUAUAAAAAAAAAUUUGAUGUUAUAUUUGAAUUUGUAUUUUAAAAAUUUAGAUUUAAUAUAAUAUAUUUUGAAAUAUUGAAAAUUAGAAAUAAUUGUUUCGGCUUUAAAUUUUCGGGUUUGGGUUUCGGAUUUUUGGUCGGAUUCAGGUUUGGAUAUGGAUUUUUAAAAUCCGUCGGAUUUGGGUGCGGGUUUGGAGUCGGUUUCGGGUUCGGAUUUUUAAAAAUUCGCCCCAAAUCU